GACGACGACGUGCUGUUCGAGGAUGUGUACGAGCUGUGCGAGGUGAUCGGAAAGGGUCCCUUCAGUGUUGUACGACGAUGUAUCAACAGAGAAACUGGGCAACAAUUUGCUGUAAAAAUUGUUGAUGUAGCCAAGUUCACAUCAAGUCCAGGGUUAAGUACAGAAGAUCUAAAGCGGGAAGCCAGUAUCUGUCAUAUGCUGAAACAUCCACACAUUGUAGAGUUAUUGGAGACAUAUAGCUCAGAUGGAAUGCUUUACAUGGUUUUCGAAUUGUGAGUGUGUAUUUUAAUUCUUAAAGGGUAAAACUUUAAGUGACGUUGGUGUUGGAUAAUGCUAACACUUUUCUCUUGAAAUUUAGCAGUAGUUGUGAACUUAUCUGUUCAGAAAGACCUAAAGUCACAAGAAAAAAGGAUUAUGUCAUCAUAAGGUUUACAGUGGCAAAGGAAGCAAAAGCUGGGCAUAUUCAGUUACUCUCAUGCUUUCAGCAUGCUUCAGAGAAGAGACUCCAAAAGGAAAUCGAGUUCAGAGGAAUAGGAGGAUCCCAAAAUAUAAACUUCUGACCAGUAGAAGUCUUAGUGAAGAAGAGUAGGAUGAAAGUGGAGGCAUCCAUGUAGCAAGACUCUUGGCAACUAAAAACAA
RNAcentral lists this small RNA (639 nucleotides) under Pongo abelii (Sumatran orangutan). RNAcentral's name for it is "processed transcript". The record is from RNAcentral. Lineage: Eukaryota; Metazoa; Chordata; Mammalia; Primates; Hominidae.